This 777-nucleotide ribosomal RNA is filed under the name uncultured Providencia sp. Its description in RNAcentral is "bacterial SSU rRNA". It matches the Rfam family "Bacterial small subunit ribosomal RNA", at positions 722 to 1502 of the family's 1533-position model. The record is from RNAcentral. Lineage: Bacteria; Pseudomonadati; Pseudomonadota; Gammaproteobacteria; Enterobacterales; Morganellaceae.
CGGCCCCCUGGACAAGACUGACGCUCAGUUGCGAAAGCGUGGGGAGCAACAGGAUUAGAUACCUGGUAGUCACGCUGUAAACGAUGUCGAUUUGGAGGUUGUUCCCUUGAGGAGUGGCUUCCGGAGCUAACGCGUUAAAUCGACCGCCUGGGGAGUACGGCCGCAAGGUUAAAACUCAAAUGAAUUGACGGGGGCCCGCACAAGCGGUGGAGCAUGUGGUUUAAUUCGAUGCAACGCGAAGAACCUUACCUACUCUUGACAUCCAGAGAAUUUAGCAGAGAUGCUUUAGUGCCUUCGGGAACUCUGAGACAGGUGCUGCAUGGCUGUCGUCAGCUCGUGUUGUGAAAUGUUGGGUUAAGUCCCGCAACGAGCGCAACCCUUAUCCUUUGUUGCCAGCACAUUAUGGUGGGAACUCAAAGGAGACUGCCGGUGAUAAACCGGAGGAAGGUGGGGAUGACGUCAAGUCAUCAUGGCCCUUACGAGUAGGGCUACACACGUGCUACAAUGGCGUAUACAAAGAGAAGCGACCUCGCGAGAGCAAGCGGAACUCAUAAAGUACGUCGUAGUCCGGAUUGGAGUCUGCAACUCGACUCCAUGAAGUCGGAAUCGCUAGUAAUCGUAGAUCAGAAUGCUACGGUGAAUACGUUCCCGGGCCUUGUACACACCGCCCGUCACACCAUGGGAGUGGGUUGCAAAAGAAGUAGGUAGCUUAACCUUCGGGAGGGCGCUUACCACUUUGUGAUUCAUGACUGGGGUGAAGUCGUAACAAGGUAACCA